CCUUAUGGCGGUGGUACGUGGGGCACCUUGUGUGCGCCGAGUCUCCGGAGUCCUCGGUCUGUCAACCCGCGUAUCGCUGCCACCCUC
Molecule: non-coding RNA, 87 nt
Filed under: Pseudomonas sp. URMO17WK12:I10
Lineage: Bacteria; Pseudomonadati; Pseudomonadota; Gammaproteobacteria; Pseudomonadales; Pseudomonadaceae
Also listed under: 6 other names
Source: RNAcentral